CCCUUAGAUGUUCUGGGCCGCACGCGCGCUACACUGACGAAGUCAGCGAGCAUGUCCUACGCCGACAGGUGCGGGGAAUCUUGUCAAACUUCGUCGUGAUGGGGAUUGAUUUUUGAAAUUCUUGAUCAUAACCGAGGAAUUCCUAGUAAGCGCAAGUCAGCAGCUUGCGUUGAUUACGUCCCUGCCCUUUGUACACACCGCCCGUCGCUACUACCGAUUGAAUGGUUUAGUGAGAUCUUCGGAUUGGCGCCACUGCAGCUCAGCAAUGGGCUUGGUGGAUGCCGAAAAGUUGAUCAAACUUGAUCAUUUAGAGGAAGUAAAAGUCGUAACA
RNAcentral lists this ribosomal RNA (331 nucleotides) under uncultured eukaryote. RNAcentral describes it as "partial 18S ribosomal RNA". It matches the Rfam family "Eukaryotic small subunit ribosomal RNA", at positions 1470 to 1796 of the family's 1831-position model. The record is from RNAcentral.